ACUGGUGUCAGCCGCCGCGGUAAUACCAGCUCUCCGAGUGGUAGGGAUGAUUAUUGGGCUUAAAGCGUUCGUAGCCGGCCUGGCAAGUCUCUCGUUAAAUCCAGCGACCCAAUCGCUGGGCUGCGGGAGAUACUGUUGGGCUUGGGAGCGGAAGAGGCCGACGGUAUUCUCGGGGUAGGGGUGAAAUCCUGUAAUCCCGGGAGGACCACCAGUGGCGAAGGCUGUCGGCUAGAACGUGUCCGACGGUCAGGGACGAAAGCUGGGGGAGCGAACCGGAUUAGAUACCCGGGUAGUCCCAGCUGUAAACUAUGCGGGCUAGGUGUCGGUGUGGCUACGAGCCACUCCGGUGCCGCAGGGAAACUCAUAA
RNAcentral lists this ribosomal RNA (367 nucleotides) under uncultured archaeon. RNAcentral describes it as "bacterial SSU rRNA". It matches the Rfam family "Archaeal small subunit ribosomal RNA", at positions 451 to 818 of the family's 1478-position model. The record is from RNAcentral.